This 1538-nucleotide long non-coding RNA is filed under the name Cavia porcellus (domestic guinea pig). RNAcentral's name for it is "lncRNA (ENSCPOG00000036034.1)". The record is from RNAcentral. Lineage: Eukaryota; Metazoa; Chordata; Mammalia; Rodentia; Caviidae.
CUGGGUAAAACCACAAAGUGAAUUUAAUUACCCUGCGCAAACAUAAAUUCACAAGGCAACAGACGGUAAGAAAUUGAGAACUCUGCAAAAGGGUCAGCAAAAAAAGAGAUUUCACAGACGAAGUGGAGUGGUAAAAAGACCAGGGAGAGACGGAGAGUGGGGAACCAAGGGAGUAAAGGACAGGAGGAGGUACCUGCCAGCUACGUUCUGGGCCGUUUUUGCAGAUAAGGCUCAAAAACCUCACAGCUACCUCCUGAAGUGGCAUCAAAAGAGGUGACUUGUCCCAGCAGGGCCCUGCAGAAGGUCAGGUGAGUGACCUCGGCGAGGAUGCAGCCAACCUUCAGAAGCAAGAAAUUUCAAAGACUACAUAUAUCUACAUAUAUGUUACCCGUCAUGGUGGGAGACGCCCUCCUGAUUCCACCUGAGACCCUCUUCCAGGUAAUCUGUGUAAUUAGAAGAGGAAGAGAACAGGGAAAAGAAGCGGAGACUGAAUUCCCUUCUUAUGCUGGCACACAUCGGUCAUCUGGAUAAACUGGAAAUCACUGAUGAGAAUCCUGUGGGAUAACUAGGCAGCCAGUGGCAUCGGCACAUCAUACCCCUUCAGUAAUAACUGUCAUGAUAAAACUACCGCUGACCGACUGUCCUUAAAGGGCCGAGACUCCAGAUCAAGCUGUGCACCAUUGGCCAGGGGACUUCCAACCCCAGUUCUGGUUCCCUCUGUGUCCCCUGACUGGCUCCCAGCCCACCUUGAGCAGAGGGAGAAGGUAACAGGUCCACACUCCUCCUCGCUCUCCGGUCUUCCCCUCUGCAUUCCUUCCAUCCACACAGGAGCACACCACCGGCUGAGCUCCGGGACUCCUGGAGACAUUUAUUGGAUGUCUGGCCUAAGUGCUGGGGACCAAACAUUCAGAAGCUUCCUGAGAUGGGCUCUGAACACGACUGUGGCCCAUGGAAGCGGUUCUCGAAUCUGAAAGAGCAUCCCAUUACUAGAAAUCUUGCCAAAACACAAAUUUCUAAGUGCCUCCCAGAAAUCUGAGUGCCAUACCCUGAAGUUUCCUAGUGAGGCCUAAGAAUUUGCAUUUGAAACUACUGUUUGGAACUGGGGACCACACCCUGAGCUCCUAGCUGGCUUUCUGGCCCCACCAGUAGAGUUACUUCUGACACUGGGAGACCCUGUCAUGGGACAGGGUAGAGCUGUGGUCAGCAUCCUUCAGGGACCACCUGGGAUGCUGGGUCACCACUCAGGAUCUUGAGACACUGGGAGAGGAAGGAGAGAAGGGUUAAUGUCCAGCACUUAGCUGGCAGUCCCCGGAGGGCAGGGGCUGUCUGGAGCUUCCUGAGAAUCCCACUCGCUCCUCCCCUGAUUCCGGCAGUGUCAGGGUUUUUCCACAGUAGAUGUUCGAUCAAUAUUCAUUGAUGAGGAUUCAUUGAAGAGGAAGAACCUACCUACAGCCCAGGCCAGCCAUAAAAUGCAAACAGCAGUCACUCAAUAAAUAUUUAUAGAGCAUCCUCUAUCUACUAUGUCCAGAGGGUCUAAG